Small nucleolar RNA from Falco tinnunculus (common kestrel), 82 nucleotides. The record is from Ensembl. Lineage: Eukaryota; Metazoa; Chordata; Aves; Falconiformes; Falconidae.
UCUGGCUGUGAUGACACUUGCCCUCACUGAGAAUAAUGAUCGGUAAUGAGCCUCACCAUGUGCUCAAAUGAGCUGAGCCAGA